Molecule: ribosomal RNA, 429 nt
Filed under: Actinomycetes bacterium
Lineage: Bacteria; Bacillati; Actinomycetota; Actinomycetes
Description: Actinobacteria bacterium partial 16S ribosomal RNA
Rfam family: Bacterial small subunit ribosomal RNA
Source: RNAcentral
UGGGGAAUCUUGCGCAAUGCGCGAAAGCGUGACGCAGCAACGCCGCGUGGGGGAAGAAGGCCUUCGGGUUGUAAACCCCUUUCAGUUGGGACGAAGCUCCGCCGGUGAAUAGCCGGCUGGAGUGACGGUACCUUCAGAAGAAGCCCCGGCUAACUACGUGCCAGCAGCCGCGGUAAUACGUAGGGGGCGAGCGUUGUCCGGAGUUACUGGGCGUAAAGGGCCCGUAGGCGGUGCUUUCAGUUCCUGCUGACAGUCCUCAGCUUACCUGAGGAAGGUGUAGGAAGACGGGAGCACUUGAGGGCGGCAGAGGGAGACGGAAUUCCGGGUGGAGUGGUGAAAUGCGUAGAGAUCCGGAGGAACACCGAAGGCGCAGGCAGUCUCCUGGGCCGCAUCUGACGCUGAGGGGCGAAAGCCAGGGGAGCGAACGGG